Molecule: RNase P RNA, 336 nt
Filed under: human gut metagenome
Description: Bacterial RNase P class A
Rfam family: Bacterial RNase P class A
About the family: Ribonuclease P (RNase P) is a ubiquitous endoribonuclease, found in archaea, bacteria and eukarya as well as chloroplasts and mitochondria. Its best characterised activity is the generation of mature 5'-ends of tRNAs by cleaving the 5'-leader elements of precursor-tRNAs. Cellular RNase Ps are ribonucleoproteins.
Source: RNAcentral
AAGCUAUGCGAUAGCGUGAACGCUUUAUGGUCACGAGGAAAGUCCGGGCAUCACAGAGCGGGGCAGCUGCUAACGGCAGCCGAGGGCGACCUUAGGGCUAGUGCAGCAGAAACAGACUGCCGUCUUUUGACGGUGAUGGUGGAAAGGCGAGGUAAGAGCUCACCGGCGUACAGGCGACUGUGCGGCCAUGUAAACCCUGUCCGAUGCAACGUCUAUUGGUACAGUACGUCAAUGUCUGCUCGGCAGGCGUGCUGUAAUGACGGCUUGAACUCCUGCGGCAACGAGGAGUCUGGAUAGAUUAUCGCACACGACAGAACCCGGCUUAUCGGCUUAGUC